UGCUUACUUCUGGGCAGGGUGAAUGU
Molecule: non-coding RNA, 26 nt
Filed under: Rattus norvegicus (Norway rat)
Lineage: Eukaryota; Metazoa; Chordata; Mammalia; Rodentia; Muridae
Source: RNAcentral